AAACUGAAGAGUUUGAUCCUGGCUCAGAUUGAACGCUGGCGGCAUGCCUUACACAUGCAAGUCGAACGGCAGCACGGGUGCUUGCACCUGGUGGCGAGUGGCGAACGGGUGAGUAAUACAUCGGAACAUGUCCUGUAGUGGGGGAUAGCCCGGCGAAAGCCGGAUUAAUACCGCAUACGAUCUACGGAUGAAAGCGGGGGACCUUCGGGCCUCGCGCUAUAGGGUUGGCCGAUGGCUGAUUAGCUAGUUGGUGGGGUAAAGGCCUACCAAGGCGACGAUCAGUAGCUGGUCUGAGAGGACGACCAGCCACACUGGGACUGAGACACGGCCCAGACUCCUACGGGAGGCAGCAGUGGGGAAUUUUGGACAAUGGGCGAAAGCCUGAUCCAGCAAUGCCGCGUGUGUGAAGAAGGCCUUCGGGUUGUAAAGCACUUUUGUCCGGAAAGAAAUCCUUGACUCUAAUACAGUCGGGGGAUGACGGUACCGGAAGAAUAAGCACCGGCUAACUACGUGCCAGCAGCCGCGGUAAUACGUAGGGUGCGAGCGUUAAUCGGAAUUACUGGGCGUAAAGCGUGCGCAGGCG
This 583-nucleotide ribosomal RNA is filed under the name Burkholderia cenocepacia. Its description in RNAcentral is "bacterial SSU rRNA". It matches the Rfam family "Bacterial small subunit ribosomal RNA", at positions 1 to 577 of the family's 1533-position model. The record is from RNAcentral. Lineage: Bacteria; Pseudomonadati; Pseudomonadota; Betaproteobacteria; Burkholderiales; Burkholderiaceae.